Molecule: ribosomal RNA, 253 nt
Filed under: uncultured bacterium
Lineage: Bacteria
Description: partial 16S ribosomal RNA
Rfam family: Bacterial small subunit ribosomal RNA
Source: RNAcentral
UACAGAGGUCUCAAGCGUUGUUCGGAUUCAUUGGGCGUAAAGGGUGCGUAGGCGGCGCGGUAAGUCGGGUGUGAAAUCUCGGAGCUUAACUCCGAAACUGCAUUCGAUACUGCCGUGCUUGAGGACUGGAGAGGAGACUGGAAUUUACGGUGUAGCGGUGAAAUGCGUAGAUAUCAGGAGGAACACCAAUAGCGAAGGCAGCUCGCUGGGACGGUACUGACGCUGAGACGCGAAAGCGUGGGGAGCAAACAGG